CCAUAUUAGAUUCUUGAUGAAUGUGUGUUGUUGUUAUUCAGCCUGGUUCGAUGUGCCCCUUUUUAACUUUGAGCACCCGCCCCUUUAAACGUCUCGGCACGGCCCUGCUGCAUGUGUUUGCGUUGUCGAGCAGUUGAGCAGUUGAACAGUAGUACCUAAUGACAGUGAGUAUCUAUUGCAAGCUCUUGACUUUCAACUCUUGUCCCUAGUGGGGUGUCACACAGGCAAUACAGGCAAUAUGGUUCAAUAAACAGCACUAUGUAAAAGCUUUGAGUCAUUUUCAUUUCAUUAUAUCUCUGUGGAUACACAAAGGUAACACAGCAUUUCCAAGGGUCAAAACUGGAGUGAGAAUUCUCAUCAAGAAAUUCAAAGAAAGCCACAGAGUGCAGAACAAGCCUGGCAGAGGGUUUGUUCAACUUCUUCUGGAGCACAAUAUAUGGGAAGUUGUACCACAACCCCCCCAAAGAUAACAGUAGACGUUGCACUUCAAAUAGAACAAAAUUCUGGAGUUUCCACAUGGCAAUUAUAACUGAAUAUGAUAUUUCAGACAGUAUACAAAUCAAUCAUCAGCACAUUAAAAGAACUGCAGACACUUGGUUACAGAAACGGCAGGAAAAGAAGAGGUAGGACUUUCCUGUAUUUAUCUACAUCUCCACUACCCUUUACGGUAUAACACUGCUGAU
Long non-coding RNA from Oreochromis niloticus (Nile tilapia), 683 nucleotides. RefSeq lists it as uncharacterized. The transcript has 3 exons. NCBI's taxonomy places the organism in Eukaryota, Metazoa, Chordata, Actinopteri, Cichliformes, Cichlidae. The record is from RefSeq and is a predicted model, not a curated record.